UUUAAUUCGAUGCAACGCGAAGAACCUUACCUGGUCUUGACAUCCACGGAAGUUUUCAGAGAUGAGAAUGUGCCUUCGGGAACCGUGAGACAGGUGCUGCAUGGCUGUCGUCAGCUCGUGUUGUGAAAUGUUGGGUUAAGUCCCGCAACGAGCGCAACCCUUAUCCUUUGUUGCCAGCGGUCCGGCCGGGAACUCAAAGGAGACUGCCAGUGAUAAACUGGAGGAAGGUGGGGAUGACGUCAAGUCAUCAUGGCCCUUACGACCAGGGCUACACACGUGCUACAAUGGCGCAUACAAAGAGAAGCGACCUCGCGAGAGCAAGCGGACCUCAUAAAGUGCGUCGUAGUCCGGAUUGGAGUCUGCAACUCGACUCCAUGAAGUCGGAAUCGCUAGUAAU
RNAcentral lists this ribosomal RNA (397 nucleotides) under Shigella flexneri. RNAcentral's name for it is "bacterial SSU rRNA". It matches the Rfam family "Bacterial small subunit ribosomal RNA", at positions 945 to 1342 of the family's 1533-position model. The record is from RNAcentral. Lineage: Bacteria; Pseudomonadati; Pseudomonadota; Gammaproteobacteria; Enterobacterales; Enterobacteriaceae.